Balaenoptera musculus (blue whale) is the source of this 2607-nucleotide RNA transcript. It is a transcript of the gene named transmembrane protein 177, with no coding region annotated. The transcript has 7 exons. The record is from RefSeq and is a predicted model, not a curated record. Lineage: Eukaryota; Metazoa; Chordata; Mammalia; Artiodactyla; Balaenopteridae.
CCUCCGCCCUCGGAGCCCCGACCCCCGAACUGGCCGGUGCGCACGUGCUCGGCGUCCCGGGCUGCGGCGGAGGCGGAGGUUUACAGAGGUGGCAGCCCUCAUGGCAGGUCCCCUGUGGCGGGCCACAGCCUUUGUGCAGAGACACAGGACGGCCCUGUUGGUGGGUUCCUGUGCAGGCCUGCUUGGGGCUCAGCUCUCGUACCACCUCUUCCCGGAUCCUGUGGUCCCGUGGCUGUACCAGUACUGGCCUCAGGGCCAGCCAGCCCCCCUGUCUCCAGAGCUGCAGAGCCUGUUCCAGGAGGUGCAGCAGGACAUCGGGGUCCCCUUGGGCCACCGCUUCGAGGCCUUCACCACCUUCACCUUCCAGCCUGUGAGCGCCGGCUUCCCGAGACUCCCUGCUGGGGCCGUGGUGGGCAUCCCCGCCAGCUUCCUGGGUGGCCCAGUGACCAACGCUGACCGGCCUGUGGUCGUCCACGGGCAGCGAGUGGAUUGGCAGAGCCCAGCGGGCGCCCGGCUGAGAGAUGCCCUGACCCUGUCCCACGACGCCCAGAAGUUCGCCUUGGCCAGGGAGGUGGUGUACCUGGAGAGCGGGUCAGCCGCCCUGCAGGCCCUGCCGGCCCCCGCCUGCCUGGUGGGCACCUGGGCGCUGGGCGUGGGGGCCAAGCACGCCCUGGGGCUCUACGGAGGCCCCAUGAACUUGCGGGCUGCUUUCAACUUGGUGGCGGCAGUGGCGGGCUUCGUGGCCUAUGCGUUGUCCACGGACUCUCUCACCCACGCCCUGGAAGCCUGGCUGGACCGCCGCACGGCCUCGCUGUCUGCAGCCUAUGCCCGGGGCGGGGUGGAGUUCUACGAGAAGGUUCUGUCGGGCAACCUGGCCCUGCGGGGCCUCCUGGGCCGGCCCGGGGAGAAGCUGUACACGCCCAGCGGGAACGUGGUUCCCAGACACUGGUUCCGCAUCAAACACCUGCCCUACACGGCCCGCCGGGACUCGGUGCUGCAGGCCUGGAGGGCGGCGCUCGGCCCCGGCAGCCCCUGAGGGCCUCCUGGCAGGGGCGGUUCCAGCUGGAGCAGGCAUCCCUUUGUUUUCGGCCAAAGCCGAGCCUCCAAGCCUGGGCGCGCUCUGUGGAAUCCGGCCCUACAAGCAUGUGGGUUCCUCGACUGCCCUCCCCCUCCCCACAUGGGCCUCCGUCUGGACCCUCUCUGCUGGCCUGCCCUGUGCUGGAUUUUUAGGUGCUCCCUCUGCAGGAACCCUCAGGGACCGAGCCCACCGCGCCCUGCACCUCUUCCUAGCCUCUGCUGCCAACGAUACGUGCUUUGAUGAAGCGUCUUGCCGUGCUGGACAGGCCCACGUGGCACGGAAGUAAGGGUGGCCUCUGAGCCACAGCUGGCGGAGCAGUGAGGCCCUCAGUCCAGCAGCCCACAGGGAGCUGAAUCCUGACAACAGCCGUGUGAGCUUGGAAGAAAAUCCCUCCCCAGUCAGGUCUCAGAUGAGACCCCAGCCUUGGCCGGCGCCUUCACUGCAGCCCGUGACACCCCGAAGCAGAGGACACAGCUAAGCUAUGCCUGGAUCCCCAACCCACAGAAGUACUGAGACGGUCUGAUGAGGAAACGAGAUUUCUCGGAGGUUACGUGCCGGCCCACGUCACACCCGCCGUGGAGCCACGGCUCUUGGGGCGACGUCAGCUGCAAAGACCAGAAUUUCUUCUGGCUCCCCUCCCGGACUCAGUGUGAUCUUGGCUGGCCUCGGCCUGCAGCGGCUUGAAGCAGGGUUUCGGUUCGCGGCCAGAGAUUGAGGUCGGGUCGUGGAGGUGAGAGCACCGAAUCCAAGCCGCUGGACCAGUGGUCAGUGACGAGGGCCUGGCCCUUCGGCUUUGCAGAAAAGAAUUGCCACAACGGCGGAAGCCACUGUGCGCCGGCCCUCUGGAAAGACAGCCAGAUAUACAGAGCAGAAAGCAGAAUAAAAGCAGUCACUUCCUCCCAGACCGUUAGGGGAAGAGAGUCACUGGGAGCGGACGAAAGAUCUGGGAGGAAACCACCAGGGAGUGAGCGCCGAUUCCCUGCGGGAGGAACUGGAGCGGAGAAAACCGGGUGCCCCUGUGAAGUGAUGGAGCCACAGACGGAUUCCCGGGAAUCCAGAGGUAACCAGCGAAGGAGUCCGCUAGCGGGAACGUGGGCCCUCGCGGUGGGGACUCCCUGGGUGCUGCCUGCAAGGACAGAUGACUGCGAGGCGGCCUGGCGGCUGCACACCACCUGUCUUGGCUUCAUGAGCAUUCCCUCUUCCCUCUACCCGCCUCGAGGACGUAAUCCCAAGGAGAGGACAGACAGAAACCCUGAAAUGAUUGAAAUCAAAUUACUACAAAUACUUGGUGAAACUGGAGUUCAAAAACAGGGCAAAAUAAAUUUACUUUUCUUGACCUGGGUCAGAGGCAAGCAAAAACACUACAGGGAAAAGGGGCAUAGAUUACACUGGGGUGUUGGGGGUAUGUGGUCAUGGAAGGCUUCCUGGAGGAGGUGAGGCUGGAUCAAAAAUUGAAGGUUCUUGGGACUUGAAGAACCUGGUGGUGCAGUGGUUAAGACUCACGCUCCCAAUGCAGGGGGCCAGGGUUC